Molecule: long non-coding RNA, 1423 nt
Filed under: Monodelphis domestica (gray short-tailed opossum)
Lineage: Eukaryota; Metazoa; Chordata; Mammalia; Didelphimorphia; Didelphidae
Description: lncRNA (ENSMODG00000037977.1)
Source: RNAcentral
UCGCUAUCUGUGCCAAUUUCUCCAAGCCCUGGUCCAGCUAUUUCACCUGGACUUUGCUAGAAGCACAAGUGAACAGUGUCCCCUUGGCCUUGGAACCUUUGCCACAUGUGGUCUAGAAAUCCAGAAGAAGUUGAAAUAUGGUGUAAUGGAAAAGGUGAUGAACUUGAAGCUCGAGACAUAUUGGAAAGAGUUUGUACUUUGGACUCCAAGGUCCUGGGUUGGAAUCCAGGCUCUGAUACUCACUGAUCAGAUGAGCUUAGGUGGAAGAAUAAUAUCUCAGCUGAGGACUCAGGUUGAAGCUAAAGAGUGGAAGCAGAUAGAAAUUCAGCCACUGCCUGCCCAGCAAUAGCCACAAAACAAGUAGGGCAGAGAUUCCUCAUGAAACCAGAGCACCAACAACAGAAGACAUUUGCCCUGCAGCUUCAGGGGUGUGAGUUGUUCUUCCUAGAGUCUGCCCUAGCCACAUUUGUUCCCCUUAUGUGUGUCUCUCCAUGUAUGUUUCUUAGUUAUGUCUAAUUUUUCUUUUCUUACUCUGUUAUUUCAUUAAAUGGUUUUAAUUUAAACUAGUUGUUGUUGAUGGAUGACUAGUAAAAGUAAACACAUUGAUGGGGGCUCAUUAGCUAUGGUUGUGAGUACAAAUGAGCCCACAUAGUAAUUUGAACCCAAGGUAGCUUUUUCUGAGAGGCUGAUGUAUGAGAUGGGAUGACUACCCAGGUGCUACACUAUUUAGGUAGAGAAGGGAAAAGGAGAAGAAAGAUCAGAGGAAUUGCUAUAGAAAUAUUUGAGUAGAGAAAACAUUAAACAGCUAAAAGUUGGAAGGAAUCAGGAAAAGUUAUGCAGAGGAGAUAGUAUCUGAAUUAAGAAUUUAUUUGCUGAAUUAAUUUAACAAAUAUACAAGAAUGGGGCUAUUGGUUUGUUUUAGACUUUGCCCUCAGUUUUCUUCUGAUGAAUAUAUUGUUAUUAUCAUUUUAAACCCUUACCGUCUGUUUUAAAAUCAAUACUGGGUACUGGUUCCAAGAAAGAAGAAUGAUAAGGCUUAGACAAUGAAGGUUAAGUGACAUGCCCAGGAUCACACAGCUAGGAACUGUCUGAGGCCAGAUUUAAAUGCUGGUCCCUGGUCCUCCCUUCUCUUGGCUUAGCUUUCAAUUCACUGAGCCACCUAGCUGUACCCUGAUCAUCAUAUUUAUUAAUGAUUUGGGUGAAAUUUACAAGAACAUGACUUCAAAUCUGAAAGAGAUAGAGAGCUAACAUACCAGAUAAAAGUCAGGAUCCAAUAAUAUAUUGAUUGGAAAGAAUAAGAGACUGAAUCCAAUAAGAUGAAAUUUAAUGGCUGAGUAAAUGUAAAAGACUCUUGUUUGGAUUUAAAGAAUCAAUAGCAGAAAUACAGAAUAAAUGGGAAGUUAAACAAUAAUUUGAAUGAAAA